UAUUCCUACGGGGGGCAGCAGUGAGGAAUAUUGGUCAAUGGGCGGGAGCCUGAACCAGCCAAGCCGCGUGAGGGAAGAAGGUACAGCGUAUCGUAAACCUCUUUUGUCAGGGAACAAAGGCGGGGACUAGUCCCCGGAUGAGGGUACCUGAAGAAAAAGCAUCGGCUAACUCCGUGCCAGCAGCCGCGGUAAUACGGAGGAUGCGAGCGUUAUCCGGAUUUAUUGGGUUUAAAGGGUGCGUAGGCGGAAGGUUAAGUCAGCGGUCAAAUGUCGGUGCUCAGCACCGGCCUGCCGUUGAAACUGGU
This 305-nucleotide ribosomal RNA is filed under the name uncultured bacterium. RNAcentral's name for it is "bacterial SSU rRNA". It matches the Rfam family "Bacterial small subunit ribosomal RNA", at positions 334 to 637 of the family's 1533-position model. The record is from RNAcentral.